AAAGCCCCUUCAGUUCCU
Molecule: transfer RNA, 18 nt
Filed under: Micromoema xiphophora
Lineage: Eukaryota; Metazoa; Chordata; Actinopteri; Cyprinodontiformes; Rivulidae
Description: Micromoema xiphophorus partial tRNA-Ile
Source: RNAcentral